GCCUACGUGGUGUAGUGGUCAGCACGCUCGACGCGUAUUCGAGAGGUCCGUGGUUCAAGUCCCGGCGAGGGCA
RNAcentral lists this transfer RNA (73 nucleotides) under Stegodyphus mimosarum. It matches the Rfam family "tRNA". From Rfam's summary of the family: Transfer RNA (tRNA) molecules are approximately 80 nucleotides in length. Lineage: Eukaryota; Metazoa; Arthropoda; Arachnida; Araneae; Eresidae. The record is from Rfam by way of RNAcentral.